This 390-nucleotide ribosomal RNA is filed under the name uncultured bacterium. Its description in RNAcentral is "partial 16S ribosomal RNA". It matches the Rfam family "Bacterial small subunit ribosomal RNA", at positions 523 to 916 of the family's 1533-position model. The record is from RNAcentral.
AUACGUAGGGAGCGAGCGUUGUCCGGAAUUACUGGGCGUAAAGGGCGCGUAGGCUGCGCUUCAAGUCGUCUGUCAAACAAUAAGGCUCAACCUUAUUUUGCAGACGAAACUGUGGCGCUAGAGAAGCAGAGAGGCAAACAGAAUUCCUGGUGUAGCGGUGAAAUGCGUAGAUAUCAGGAGGAACACAUGUGGCGAAGGCGGCUUCCUGGAUCGCAACUGACGCUGAGGCGCGAAAGCUAGGGGAGCAAACAGGAUUAGAUACCCUGGUAGUCCUAGCCCUAAACGAUGAGCACUUGGUGUAGCCCUUCACCGGGCUGUGCCGGAGCUAACGCGUUAAGUGCUCCGCCUGGGGAGUACGGUCGCAAGGCUGAAACUCAAAUGAAUUGACGG